This 253-nucleotide ribosomal RNA is filed under the name uncultured bacterium. RNAcentral's name for it is "partial 16S ribosomal RNA". It matches the Rfam family "Bacterial small subunit ribosomal RNA", at positions 524 to 776 of the family's 1533-position model. The record is from RNAcentral. RNAcentral also lists the same sequence under 1 other name.
GACGAACCGAGCGAACGUUGUUCGGAAUCACUGGGCUUAAAGGGCGCGUAGGCGGGUGCUCAAGUCCGGGGUGAAAUCCUCCAGCUCAACUGGAGAACUGCCUCGGAUACUGGGCGUCUCGAGUGUGGUAGGGGUAUGCGGAACUAUCGGUGGAGCGGUGAAAUGCGUUGAUAUCGAUAGGAACUCCGGUGGCGAAGGCGGCAUACUGGACCACUACUGACGCUGAUGCGCGAAAGCCAGGGGAGCAAACGGG